This is a long non-coding RNA of Xenopus laevis (African clawed frog), 473 nucleotides long. RefSeq lists it as uncharacterized. The transcript has 3 exons. NCBI's taxonomy places the organism in Eukaryota, Metazoa, Chordata, Amphibia, Anura, Pipidae. The record is from RefSeq and is a predicted model, not a curated record.
AGCUUUAGGAUUUUUCUUUGGGGCAGGGUUUUAUUCAGUCUUCCCUUGCGGCUGCGAACCUGUUACAUACUUGCUGGUCUGUGUAAGUUAAUACAGGCAUAUCGAGUCAUCAAAAUUUCCUCGCCAUAGUAUAUCAAGGACCCCAGUGUUCACGGUUCAACCCUGACCAGCGGUGUUGCCACGUCUGUGUAUGGAUUCUCCGGCGCUUGGAGAUGACGUCUACAGCCUUCACCUGACACGUUUCGUCGAUAUACGACUUCCUGAGAGGCUCAAAUUCUAAAUGCCUAGAUGACAUCGGCAACCAGCACCUCACACCAAUGCACGCCCAGUCCUUCUGAGUGGCUGCUGCUCAGUGAAAGUGAAAAAAAGAGAUGGCCGACGGCUGCCCUGGAUUACUGUAGCUGUAACAGGACAGGAAAUCAGGAGAAAGGGAGAAGCGUGAUAAGAAAUGCUAAGAUAACAAAUAAAGUGGA